AUUGAACGCUGGCGGCAUGCUUUACACAUGCAAGUCGAACGGUAACAGCACUUCGGUGGCUGACGAGUGGCGAACGGGUGAGUAAUACAUCGGAACGUGCCUAGUAUUGGGGGAUAACUACUCGAAAGAGUAGCUAAUACCGCAUGAGAUCUAAGGAUGAAAGCAGGGGACCUUCGGGCCUUGCGCUACUAGAGCGGCUGAUGGCAGAUUAGGUAGUUGGUGGGAUAAAAGCUUACCAAGCCGACGAUCUGUAGCUGGUCUGAGAGGACGACCAGCCACACUGGGACUGAGACACGGCCCAGACUCCUACGGGAGGCAGCAGUGGGGAAUUUUGGACAAUGGGCGCAAGCCUGAUCCAGCAAUGCCGCGUGCAGGAUGAAGGCCUUCGGGUUGUAAACUGCUUUUGUACGGAACGAAAAGCCCUCUUCUAAUACAGGAGGGUCAUGACGGUACCGUAAGAAUAAGCACCGGCUAACUACGUG
RNAcentral lists this ribosomal RNA (482 nucleotides) under uncultured bacterium. RNAcentral's name for it is "partial 16S ribosomal RNA". It matches the Rfam family "Bacterial small subunit ribosomal RNA", at positions 30 to 507 of the family's 1533-position model. The record is from RNAcentral.